CAACCCUUAAGCCUAGCUUAGUGUUGGGAGACUGCCUAAUACGCAGCUCCUCAAAACCAGUGGCGGAGUCUUUUCGUGCUCUGAGCGUAGUAAUUCUUUAUCUCGCUUCUGCAAGCCGGCUAGACAACAGCCAUAAACCGCACCCUUCGGGGGCACUUUUUUAAU
RNAcentral lists this unclassified non-coding RNA (165 nucleotides) under uncultured Monographella. RNAcentral's name for it is "sequence contains ITS2". The record is from RNAcentral. Lineage: Eukaryota; Fungi; Ascomycota; Sordariomycetes; Xylariales.